RNAcentral lists this ribosomal RNA (279 nucleotides) under uncultured archaeon. Its description in RNAcentral is "partial 16S ribosomal RNA". It matches the Rfam family "Archaeal small subunit ribosomal RNA", at positions 1047 to 1325 of the family's 1478-position model. The record is from RNAcentral.
GAGACCCACGCCCACAGUUGCCAGCGUACUCUCAGGAGUGACGGGUACACUGUGGGGACCGCCGCUGCUAAAGCGGAGGAAGGAAUGGGCAACGGUAGGUCAGUAUGCCCCGAAUAUCCCGGGCUACACGCGAGCUACAAUGGUUGGUACAAUGGGUAUCUACCCCGAAAGGGGAUGGAAAUCUCCUAAAGCCAAUCUUAGUUCGGAUCGAGGGCUGCAACUCGCCCUCGUGAAGCUGGAAUCCGUAGUAAUCGCGUUUCAACAGAACGCGGUGAAUAC